UAAAACACAGAUAAAACAGCUCGGGCACAGA
Molecule: non-coding RNA, 31 nt
Filed under: Homo sapiens (human)
Lineage: Eukaryota; Metazoa; Chordata; Mammalia; Primates; Hominidae
Source: RNAcentral